GGAAGUAUAAGUCGUAACAAGGUCUCCGUAGGUGAACCUGCGGAGGGAUCAUUACAGAGUUCAUGCCCUACCGGGUAGAUCUCCCACCCUAUGUUAUUAUUACUUUGUUGCUUUGGCGGGCCGUUAGGCUCCGGCCCGACUACCGGCCCCGGCUGGUAAGCGCCCGCCAGAGGACCCAAAACCCUGGACAUCAGUGUCGUCUGAGUACUAUAUAAUAGUUAAAACUUUCAACAGCGGAUCUCUUGGUUCUG
This 251-nucleotide unclassified non-coding RNA is filed under the name plant metagenome. RNAcentral's name for it is "partial contains small subunit ribosomal RNA, internal transcribed spacer 1, and 5.8S ribosomal RNA". The stretch from base 1 to 54 matches the Rfam family "Eukaryotic small subunit ribosomal RNA", at positions 1778 to 1831 of the family's 1831-position model. The record is from RNAcentral.